ACGUGGCCCCCGCCUGACCCGGCGCCCCGGGGCGGAGUAGGGCGGAGCGGGCGGCAAACGCAGCACUUUCCGCGGCUUUGACGAGCCCGCAGCGGCCGGACCCGAGCGCUGAGCCGGGCCGAGACUGCACCAUGCAGGAAGCGCCAGCCGCGCUGCCCACGGAGCCAGGCCCCAGCCCCGUGCCUGCCUUCCUCGGCAAGCUAUGGGCGCUGGUGGGGGACCCAGGCACAGACCACCUGAUCCGCUGGAGCCCGAGCGGGACCAGUUUCCUCGUAAGCGACCAGAGCCGCUUCGCCAAGGAAGUGCUGCCCCAGUAUUUCAAGCAUAGCAACAUGGCGAGCUUCGUGCGCCAACUCAACAUGUGUGAGUCCCUACGGCCGGGCGGGGAGCGGGGAUGGGGAACUCGGUGCCGGGGAUGGGGCGACCCACGCCCCCACGCCCCACUCCCCAGACGGUUUUCGGAAGGUGGUGAGCAUCGAGCAGGGCGGCCUGCUUAGGCCGGAGCGCGACCACGUCGAGUUCCAGCACCCGAGCUUCGUGCGCGGCCGCGAGCAGCUACUGGAGCGCGUGCGGCGCAAGGUGCCCGCGCUGCGCGGCGACGACAGCCGCUGGCGCCCGGAGGACCUGGGUCGACUACUGGGCGAGGUGCAGGCUUUGCGGGGAGUGCAGGAGAGCACCGAGGCGCGGCUGCGGGAGCUCAGGCAGUGCGGGGGCGGGCGGGGAAAGAGGGGACAGGGGUGGGGGGUUCGGGAUGAGACCAUAACUGGCCAGCCGGCAGUUCUGGGCAGCCCCUUCCUCUCUCGGGCCUUGGCGCCUCCAUCUAGAUUUAUGGGCGAUCUCUAGGAUGACCAGUCAUCGGGGUGGUCUCCUGGGUCCCCAGCCUCGCCAUUCUGUGGGGGGUGGUGACUGGGGGAACUCUCAGAUGCCUCAGCACCCUCCCACCCCUUCCUCAGGCAGAACGAGAUCUUGUGGCGGGAGGUGGUGACACUUCGGCAGAGCCAUGGUCAGCAGCACCGGGUCAUUGGCAAGCUGAUCCAGUGUCUCUUUGGGCCACUUCAGGCGGGGCCGAGCAAUGCAGGAGGCAAGAGAAAGCUGUCCCUGAUGCUGGAUGAGGGGAGCUCAUGCCCAACACCUGCCAAGUUCAACACCUGCCCUCUGCCUGGUGCCCUUCUGCAGGACCCCUACUUCAUCCAGUCGGUAGGUUUGUCUUCUUCCCCCUUCCCAAGGGCAUGGCUGGGCUUAUGGAGAGCCUGUUCCUUCUCCCCAUCCCCUAAAAGGAAGAGAAGAUGGAAGCCAGCCUUCCCCCCAACCAGACCCAGGCCCUCCAGCAUGGACUGAGCCUCCUCCCUCAAACCUUCUCCCUUAGACCUGGCCCAGGUGGGUGUUGGUGGGGUUCUGGCUCUCCCUGUGCCUACAGGCCAAGGGCUGGGCCUAGCCUUCUACUUACAGCCCCUCCCAGAGACGACUUUGGGCCUCAGCCCUCACAGGGCCAGGGGCCCCAUCAUCUCUGACAUCCCAGAAGACUCUCCAUCCCCUGAGGGGACCAGGCUUUCUCCCUCCAGUGAUGGCAGGAGCCCCCCCGCCACUGCCUGUGGCUGUGGUGCAGGCCAUCCUGGAAGGGAAAGGGAGCUUCAGCCCCGAGGGGCCCAGGAAUGCCCAACAGCCUGAACCAGGGGAUCCCAGGGAGAUACCUGACAGGGGGCCUCUGGGCCUGGAAAGCGGGGACAGAAGCCCAGAGAGUCUGCUGUCUC
Molecule: small RNA, 1751 nt
Filed under: Pongo abelii (Sumatran orangutan)
Lineage: Eukaryota; Metazoa; Chordata; Mammalia; Primates; Hominidae
Description: retained intron
Source: RNAcentral